This 133-nucleotide transfer RNA is filed under the name Candidatus Aenigmatarchaeota archaeon. RNAcentral describes it as "tRNA-Gly". It matches the Rfam family "tRNA". From Rfam's summary of the family: Transfer RNA (tRNA) molecules are approximately 80 nucleotides in length. Their secondary structure includes four short double-helical elements and three loops (D, anti-codon, and T loops). Further hydrogen bonds mediate the characteristic L-shaped molecular structure. tRNAs have two regions of fundamental functional importance: the anti-codon, which is responsible for specific mRNA codon recognition, and the 3' end, to which the tRNAs corresponding amino acid is attached (by aminoacyl-tRNA synthetases). tRNAs cope with the degeneracy of the genetic code in two manners: having more than one tRNA (with a specific anti-codon) for a particular amino acid; and 'wobble' base-pairing, i.e. permitting non-standard base-pairing at the 3rd anti-codon position. Lineage: Archaea; Nanobdellati; Candidatus Aenigmatarchaeota. The record is from RNAcentral.
GCGGCCAUAGUUUAGUGGCAUGACACUGGCUUCCCAAGCCAGUAACCCGGGUUCGAAGCAACCCUUUCGGCCAGUUUGGCUAAAAGGUCUGCACCCCAAAAAGGUGCUGUUGGCGAAACUCCCGGUGGCCGCA